AAAAAAAAAAGUCGUGCUGCCGCCCUCCUACACUCUUCACUCGGCUCCGGUCCUGCUGUAUGUCUGAGCCUGCUGCGUGUGACGCUGUCACGGUUGCCUAGAGACAGACCGACGCUCCUCUCAAAACCCGUGCCUUUUAAAAAUGUCCGCUACUUCCGCUACUCCACCACGUCUUCAAAAGCGAAAACUUUUGGAAAAGUACAGACUUGAGUGGAAAGAGGAAAAUAUAUAUCCUUGGCUGCACAAUGUCUGUAAUAAAUUACAAUUAUUACAUAUAUUAGUAUUUAGUUUUCUGUUUACAAGGAGAACAGGCUGUCGCCUGACUAUAAUUACAUGUGUUUCCAAAUGUUUUUAUAAACAUCAUUUAUUAUAUUUUUCUUCUUCCUCCUCCUCCACCUUUGACCGAGGCACAAUCACUUUUUUUUUUUUUUUUAUUCUUUUGUGUAUUAAGGUCAGAAAGAUGCAGCGGAACGGCCCAAACAAAACAAACCUAAAAUGUAGUCAGGUGUGACGUCAGACGCUGAAAAGUUUGAGCUCUUCGCUUUAAAACCACCUGUUGUUGGAAGUUAUUCUUAAUCGCGGCUCGACCUGGUCUGGGCGAAUGUCACAGAUGGAGAGCUUCAGUUCAGAUGUCUGAAAUAAAUAGAUGCACUUGGAUUUCUGCACACGGAGGCCAGGUUGAAGUUGUCCACCGUCAAAGUACGCUCUGGAAACUGAAAGACAAGAUGUGUCAUCCUGAAGAUCUUCACACAGUAAGCGAUGAGUGACACAACAGCAGGUGCUCAGAGAACCGUGGAGAGUGCUUUCAUUUUGCCACUUAUACGACAAAUUACCCAGACAAUGGACCUGGCAAGGCAGGGCUCUAAUUCAAUUCCAACUGUUGACUCUGGGCAUUCGCCUGCAUGCAUUCACCAGCCUCGGGAAAGGAGAUUCCCCCCCAUCAAAAAUAAAAAAGACUGAGUGAAGGGGAGAAAAAAGUAAGAGGACGCAAACGCAGUCAAACAAAAUGAAAGGUAAUAUUCCUUAUCUGGCCAAAGACAGCAGCAGAUGAACUGGCCUAAUAUGAGCACAAAUAUGAUUUAGGGAUUCCAUGCUUCAGAGAGCCGACAACUCAAAGUGAUUUGGAUCAAUAGUGUUUGCAAGGCACAGCAGAAAUGAAGAGAUAAAGAGUGAAAAAGAGAGAAAAGGCAGGAACGAAGGCUGGAUGGAAAGAGGGGCAUUUCUCUGCGAGUCGAGCAAGUGAGCAGUAGGAGCAGAGCUGUAGUCAAAUUUCGCUGGUGUCAAAUUAAUUUCCGUGUUAUCUGGAAAUUCAAUUAGAAACCCCCCCUCCCUGCCCCCCCUUCGUCCCUCCUAUCCUCCUUUGUGAGUAAGAGAGUGUCGGACAUCCCAGCGUGACAGAUUACACUGCUCAGAGUGCAUAUCAGGCCGAAGUGUUGAGGCCCACUAAUCCGCCCUCUAAUUCUCAAUUAGUGUAAAAUGAGGCCAUAAAUCACGCAGACAGGCCGAUCGAUGGAAACGUUGUUUUAGGAGUGAUUGGCAGCCUCCCCAAAGGUUACUGUUUAAGUUGGUUUAAGGUUACAGCUCUCUCAAGCUGAAGGCUGACCGUAUGCGUGUGUCUGUGUGUGCGUGUGUUGGCUUGGCUUGUGGUUGGGGAGGGCUGGGCGGUUGAACUCAAUCUAUAUGAUGCAGGGCCUUGGUCCUUUGGGGAUACAGCAGAGGGACAGCACCAAUUUUUAGCCCAUCAGCCGUCCAAUUUUUCUCCUUUUCAUACCUGCUGUAGUAAAUGAGAAACAAAUUAAAUUUCACCCCACUAUCUCCACAGAAACCAUUUAAAUCCUUUAUGGAAACCAAAUUGUCCCCAGACAAAUCGCCCCUGGUUCUGUGGAAAUACACUAUGGCGCUGCAACCGAAAUAAAUUUGUGUCACUCUGGAUAUGGCAUUGUCUGUAAUGCCAUUCAUUGGGAGAUACUGUUGAAAGAGAGAGGGGAAUAAAAUAAGGGGCACUUUUGGAGGAACAAAAAGGAAGAAAAGGCUCCAGCUCUGGCAUUCUCUUCCUUACCCUCCUCUUCAUCCCUCUGUCUUUGCAUGCCUUCUCCCUUGUGCCCACUUUUCCCCCUGCGUAGUGUUAUUAAUUUUCGGCCAGAGUUUUUGCAUUCAUGAGGCUGAGAUUGAAAUGGAAAUGAGGGCUGGCUGAGCGAGCGAAGUGAGCAGCCUCAGCAGUGGCCGCAGCCAAACGAGGCCCCCAGUGCGGCGCACCGGCACCGGCACUGAGCCGACACGUGUCAGAGACAGAGGGGACUCGACUGCCACCAUCCAGCCUCUCAUUCCCCCAGAUUACCAGCCCCUGACAUCAAUCACUGCAUCAGGGAAACAAUGCAUAAAACAGCCCCAACAAGGGCGAUGAAAAAUCACUGACAGUGCAGGAGUGGAGGACGAGGAGGGGGAGCACAGGGGAGGAGUGGGGAGAGGGGGUGAGAGGGAGAGAGGCAGAGGAGGGAAGAAAGGAAAGGGAAAUAAGACAUUGAGAAAGUGACAAAGAAAAAGGACAUUCAGUUGUAAUUAAAAAUAACAACAUUAAAAUUUUUGUCAGUGAAAGGAGGUUUGAAAUAAAUAUCUUGUAAAACUUCAUACUAAAUCAUACUAAAACUUUUAAAAUUAUAUACAAUUUUUAUAAUCAGGCCUACUGGCCAACUCCUUAUGAUGAGAACGAGACGCAGGUCGACACAGUGUUUAAAGAAAAACAUUAGAAUUCUGUAAAAAAGGAAUUGUGUGAUAACACUACUUACCUAACUAAGCUAAAUAAUCCACUGGCGCGAGAUCUACAACCACGUCAUGUUUGGUUAUGACCAGUUGGAGAAAACGGCCUUCACAGCAGUGACUUUGUAGAACUGGCUUUAGGGUUUUUGUUGAUAUUCAAUGUAAAUCUUGGAAAUGACCAGUUGUCUCUGCUGAACUGUGUCUAUAAUAGUGUAGGAUUUACCACAAUAAAAACGCCUUAACUUCACCAUUUAAAGUACGACAUCAACUAUGUACCAUACAUUUGAAGUAUUUGUAAUCUUAAGGACUUAGGGUCUCUGUAUUAAAGGCUCAUAAUGUUCUCCACGUUUUUUUUGCUUCCAUUUGUGCAGUGGCUUCAUCACCGCUCUUUAACUGAACACAGCAGUGGUCUGUGACAGGCUCUGUUUCACAUCAUCAACACCAUCAUAAACUCUGUCAGAGGAUCUGUUGUUAAUUCAUGAAUUGUUUUUCAUCAAGUUCACUUACUUUUGACCAGAAGUUUUUUUGUUUGUUCUUUUCUAACCAUCAUAAACCAUCGAGUGCUCAUCACAAUUGUGUUUUUUAGACAAAUCUUUAAAGUGUUCUUUCCCUGAUUUGACUUUGGAAUAUUUUCCGCUGCUACAGUCAACUCUGCUGUUCGCACUUGGAGUCAUCCUGUGUGACAGUUGCAUCAGACAUCAGGUUUAUGUUUGACCUAAUCAGGACCACUGUUGAUGACGUAACUAAAAUUUAUGAGCCAGUGGAAUUCCAUUUUAGCCUUGUUCAUAUGAUCUUUAAUAACUGUGUGUUCUUUUGAUUUAUUUUGGGUCUCUCCCUCCCCCUGCAGAGUUGUUCAGUCUCUGCUUUGUGUCCCCUGUAACCAAAAGCUAAUGUGCUGAAAGGCUGGUUCUUGUCUACCUGAACUGAUCUUGGUCAUGAAGAGAAGAGAGUUAGCAGCUCCUGAAGAGAGAUGAGAGGACCUCAGGGGGAUUCACUCUGCUUCCCUCUGUCUACUGAGGAAUGGAAAGAGAAAGAGGUAGAAAGACCCUCAGACAGUGACAGCCCCAACCAAACCACAUCUCAUAAUUUAAUUAGGAUACGAUGACAAUCUUUCUUUAUAGUCAGUUUUCAGAGGCAGCCAAGGGGCGGGAGGUUUUUUUUUUUUGUUUUUUUUCUUUUCUUUUUUGGGCACAUCUAUGCCAUCUAGUGCUGGUUUCAGUGGAAGCGAGAAAAACUGUCACAAGAUCAAAAGAACUCUCCAUGUAAUUAGAGGCUAAUGAGAGAUAUCCUGUGUUUAGACAGUGUUCACAACACUUAUAUUAAAGGUAAAGGAUACGUCAUUUAACAUUUUAAAAUGAAAUGUGAUCACAGAUUGGCUCCACUUUAACUGUUACUCAGUAAGGAGUACUGAGGCAUUUCACCAACUCUUAUAUAGUAUUUAUGGAAGUCUAAGUACUAAUGUCCACUUGUUCCCUAUAAACCCUACAUCCUGUCAGUAAGGAAACUGUCAGUAAGGAAACUGUGAUUUCUGUCUUCAUUGUUUUCUGGCAACAAAGGUACAUUUAAUUAAAGUGAAAUAUUGUUGUCCUUCUUCAGAUUUAACAUGAAUAAUUAGAACACAGUCCAGUGCACAUCCUUCAUAUUUCACCCUGAUACUUGGUGGUACAGCCCACCCGUCAAGUCACAGGAACACCUUCCAUCUGGAUAAGAAUUGCAUCAGAAACAGAGCUGUUGUCAGAGCCUUUGAAAUAAUAAUGUGGGAAAUGUUAAGGCCUCAGGAUGCGACAACACCUCAUUACAGCUCUGAGUAUUUUUUUGCAAAAGACAACACACGCUGGAAUGAAUAGGAAACAUGAACGACUGUGUUAUUUAUAUUCACCCUUUACAUCAAAUUGUUGCUUUCCCACAAAAGCCUGAAACAGCAGUGGGUUUGAACUCGGGGUUAAUGAAAAAGUCCCCGGCGUCAAGUUACCUGCGCGUCUGCAGGCGAGACUCGUCUGUCGGAACAAACAUUUCAUUUGUGCGCCACAUGUUCCUCAGACGAGACCCACAGUAAAAGUUGUUCAAUAAAUUUUACCGUCUGUUUUACAGACCUCCCCUUUCCCCCUUGUGUCAUUGUUUUUAAUUGAAAGUAGAUUCUCACUCAGCUAUAAACAUCAUUCCACCCAAUCAGAGCUUGUUUAGAUCAAAUGCUCGUUUCAGUGGGCCGCGUUCUAACAGAUGCCUUCAACCUCGCCUUGUCUCCCCGGCUCUCGUACUGUUAAACGCUCUGGUAUACUCUUUCAAGGUCGGUGAGAUGGGCUGUCACUGUAUUCUGUCAGCAAAGCGCAAUAUUUCUUCAGGAGUUCUGAACCUGGCACGCAGCGGGGUAGAAAUGAAAAUAAGGCGGUACAUAAACGGAGGGAGUUAGCCGUAAAUCACCUAACACGCAGAGGAGGCAGCAGGUAGAGGCGCUGUCGGCUGUCACAGCACCUCCCCUGCGAGGCAGCUUGGACACCAGCCAUCAUGCUUUAAUCAAACUGCACAUAAUAGACAUGUCUCGGCUCUUUAUGAUACACACACACACACACACACUAGCGCGCACUGCUGCACGCACACUCAGCAGAGAAGCUGGCUUUCAGACUCUUCCAGCUUGUGCUAUUUAAAUGUGACUUAUGUUUAUUUGUUUGGGUGUCAGAGGUGAUUCUUUUGUGGUAUCCUUAAAGCAAUCUUUGAUGCACUAAAAUCAGUGGUUCACACACACGCACACUCACACACACUCACGGAGAUGCACACUUCUUCAAAGGUCGGUUGUCUUUUCUGUGAUAUGAGGCUGGUGGUAUUUUUUUUUUUUUUUUUUGACAUGCUGUGUGUCAAACGAUAAUGUUAUUGUUGGCAAGGCUUUUUUAUAGCAGCAUAAUUUUAUCCUGGCUUUUUCUUUUCCUUUCUUUAAUUAAACAGUAGAUGUCUUGCAUGUCUGUGGCUUUGCUGCUAAGUGCGGUUUGAAAGCUAACACCAAACAGAUGGGGAAAGAUUUGUAUCCCUGUGAGAGCACGAUUGCACAAACCACUGAAACAACACAGAACUUCAUCAUAAACUCAUAAUAAAAUUGUCCCAAUACAUGCAGCUACACUACCGACUGUUUUGAGUGCGCAAGUUAGAAGUUUACUGAUUGGAUUCAGGUCAUGAUCAUAUUUGUAAUCCGAAUAGCACAAAAUAUGGCUCUAGGGCCAGUAGUGGUACUUAACAGGAUUUACACAGCCUUGAUAGGUAAUUUAAAUUUUCCUUUUUUUUUUUUUUCCUCCCUAAAAUGUAAAACGAAACCUACAAUUUUAUUUUGGAUCAUUUUCAGAACUAACAGUGGGUCCUUUCUGGAGCUGUUGUCUUUGAAUUUAAAUUAUUACUGGUAAACCAAUUGCCAUUUUUACUUUAUUUUUACAUUUGAGCUUUUCUGUGUUGCUCUUUAAAAGCUAAACUUGUAAUUUUCAUCUGCUCGUCUAUACCACCUAAUUCCUUUCCCAAGCUACGUCAGCAGUCAUUGGUCAAAGACAAAGAUACAUUCAUUGGGGUGUGUUACAUUUUAUUACAAUACUAAUUUGCUGAAUUUACUAAAUACAUUUUUUUCACAUAGUUGUCAAGUAUUGAGACUCUUUAAAGGAACCAACUCUCCUGCUCCAGGUUCUUGAGUCGUGUAUUUCAGAACAGCUUGUGUUACAAACCCUCUCCCCAGAACCAGAAUUUCAACUUAUUUUUACUACUUUGAAAAUGUCAAAAACGUUAUCAGCCAAUAAAGAGGUACUGCAUUGCUCUUGAAAGUCCACCAGGCCGUAUCAUCUUACACAAAAGUAGGACUUUAUGAAAGGGGAAAAAGACCUCGACUGCUCUUGCUCCCUUUGACUUGUAGUGAUGUGCUUAAUGGUUCUCUCAUCAUGUGGGUGGUUCAUUGUAAAGCACUUCUUCCAGUAAAUGAUUAGUGCAUUCACCUCUAAAGCAGCGUUGAUUGGCUAGAAGCUCUUCAAACGCAAGUGUCCUCAAAAGGCCUGGAGGUCAAAUCCUCCAGUCUGACUUUGAACUGUCUAUUUCUCUGUAGAUC
Cynoglossus semilaevis (tongue sole) is the source of this 6829-nucleotide long non-coding RNA. RefSeq lists it as uncharacterized. Lineage: Eukaryota; Metazoa; Chordata; Actinopteri; Pleuronectiformes; Cynoglossidae. The transcript has 4 exons. The record is from RefSeq and is a predicted model, not a curated record.